UGAACGUUGGCGGCGUGGAUUAGGCAUGCAAGUCGAGCGAGAAAUUUACUUCGGUAAAUGGACAGCGGCGAAAGGGACAGUAAUGUGUAGGUACCUACCCUCUGAUCUGGGAUAGCUGCGGGAAACUGCAGGUAAUACCGGAUAAUGUCUUCGGACCAAAGGUGUGAUUCCGUCUGAGGAGGGGCCUGCAUCCUAUUAGCUUGUUGGUGAGGUAAUGGCUCACCAAGGCAACGAUGGGUAGCGGGUGUGAGAGCAUGACCCGCGUCAUUGGGACUGAGACACUGCCCAGACAUCUACGGAUGGCUGCAGUCGAGAAUCUUCGGCAAUGGGCGAAAGCCUGACCGAGCGACGCCGCGUGCGGGAUGAAGGCCCUCGGGUUGUAAACCGCUGUCGUUGGGGAGGAAAUGCAGGAGGGCUAUCCCUCUUGUUUGACCGAUCCAAGGAGGAAGUACGGGCUAAGU
RNAcentral lists this ribosomal RNA (461 nucleotides) under uncultured Planctomycetales bacterium. Its description in RNAcentral is "bacterial SSU rRNA". It matches the Rfam family "Bacterial small subunit ribosomal RNA", at positions 30 to 502 of the family's 1533-position model. The record is from RNAcentral. Lineage: Bacteria; Pseudomonadati; Planctomycetota; Planctomycetia; Planctomycetales.